Molecule: ribosomal RNA, 253 nt
Filed under: uncultured bacterium
Lineage: Bacteria
Description: partial 16S ribosomal RNA
Rfam family: Bacterial small subunit ribosomal RNA
Source: RNAcentral
UACGAAGGGGGCGAGCGUUGUUCGGAAUCACUGGGCGUAAAGGGCGCGUAGGCGGCCCUUCUUGUCGCGUGUGAAAGCCCCGGGCUCAACCUGGGAAUGGCGCGCGAGACGGGGGGGCUGGAGUUCGGGAGAGGAGCGUGGAAUUCCCAGUGUAGAGGUGAAAUUCGUAGAUAUUGGGAAGAACACCGGUGGCGAAGGCGGCGCUCUGGACCGAGACUGACGCUGAGGCGCGAAAGCGUGGGGAGCGAACAGG